RNAcentral lists this ribosomal RNA (492 nucleotides) under uncultured bacterium. RNAcentral describes it as "partial 16S ribosomal RNA". It matches the Rfam family "Bacterial small subunit ribosomal RNA", at positions 30 to 507 of the family's 1533-position model. The record is from RNAcentral.
AUUGAACGCUGGCGGCAUGCUUUACACAUGCAAGUCGAACGGUAACAGGCCUUCGGGUGCUGACGAGUGGCGAACGGGUGAGUAAUGCAUCGGAACGUGCCCAGAGGUGGGGGAUAACGCAGCGAAAGCUGUGCUAAUACCGCAUGUGAUCUGAGGAUGAAAGCGGGGGACCAGGCAGCAAUGUUUGGCCUCGCGCCUUUGGAGCGGCCGAUGUCAGAUUAGGUAGUUGAUGGGGUAAAGGCCUACCAAGCCGACGAUCUGUAGCUGGUCUGAGAGGACGACCAGCCACACUGGGACUGAGACACGGCCCAGACUCCUACGGGAGGCAGCAGUGGGGAAUUUUGGACAAUGGGCGCAAGCCUGAUCCAGCAAUGCCGCGUGCGGGAAGAAGGCCUUCGGGUUGUAAACCGCUUUUGUACGGAACGAAAAGGCUCUGGCUAAUACCUGGGGCUGAUGACGGUACCGUAAGAAUAAGCACCGGCUAACUACGUG